RNAcentral lists this ribosomal RNA (468 nucleotides) under uncultured bacterium. RNAcentral's name for it is "partial 16S ribosomal RNA". It matches the Rfam family "Bacterial small subunit ribosomal RNA", at positions 28 to 507 of the family's 1533-position model. The record is from RNAcentral.
GACGAACGCUGGCGGCGUGCUUAACACAUGCAAGUCGAACGGAAAGGCCCUGCUUUUGUGGGGUGCUCGAGUGGCGAACGGGUGAGUAACACGUGAGUAACCUGCCCUUGACUUUGGGAUAACUUCAGGAAACUGGGGCUAAUACCGGAUAGGAGCUCCUGCUGCAUGGUGGGGGUUGGAAAGUUUCGGCGGUUGGGGAUGGACUCGCGGCUUAUCAGCUUGUUGGUGGGGUAGUGGCUUACCAAGGCUUUGACGGGUAGCCGGCCUGAGAGGGUGAGCGGCCACAGUGGGACUGAGAUACGGCCCAGACUCCAACGGGAGGCAACAGUGGGGAAUAUUGCACAAUGGGCGGAAGCCUGGUGCAGCAACGCCGCGUGCGGGAUGACGGCCUUCGGGUUGUAAACCGCUUUCGCCUGUGACGAAGCGUGAGUGACGGUGAUGGGUAAAGAAGCACCGGCUAACUACGUG